This 253-nucleotide ribosomal RNA is filed under the name uncultured bacterium. Its description in RNAcentral is "partial 16S ribosomal RNA". It matches the Rfam family "Bacterial small subunit ribosomal RNA", at positions 524 to 776 of the family's 1533-position model. The record is from RNAcentral.
CACGGGGGGAGCAAGCGUUGUCCGGAAUCAUUGGGCGUAAAGAGCGCGUAGGCGGUCCGGUAAGUCCGCUGUGAAAGUCAAGGGCUCAACCCUUGAAUGCCGGUGGAUACUGUCGGGCUAGAGUCCGGAAGAGGCGAGUGGAAUUCCUGGUGUAGCGGUGAAAUGCGCAGAUAUCAGGAGGAACACCAAUGGCGAAGGCAGCUCGCUGGGACGGUACUGACGCUGAGGCGCGAAAGCGUGGGGAGCAAACAGG